GGCGGACGGGUGAGUAAUACUUAGGAAUCUGCCUAUUAAUGGGGGACAACAUCUCGAAAGGGAUGCUAAUACCGCAUACGCCCUACGGGGGAAAGCAGGGGAUCACUUGUGACCUUGCGUUAAUAGAUGAGCCUAAGUCGGAUUAGCUAGUUGGUGGGGUAAAGGCCUACCAAGGCGACGAUCUGUAGCGGGUCUGAGAGGAUGAUCCGCCACACUGGGACUGAGACACGGCCCAGACUCCUACGGGAGGCAGCAGUGGGGAAUAUUGGACAAUGGGGGGAACCCUGAUCCAGCCAUGCCGCGUGUGUGAAGAAGGCCUUAUGGUUGUAAAGCACUUUAAGCGAGGAGGAGGCUCUUCUAGUUAAUACCUAGGAUGAGUGGACGUUACUCGCAGAAUAAGCACCGGCUAACUCUGUGCCAGCAGCCGCGGUAAUACAGAGGGUGCGAGCGUUAAUCGGAUUUACUGGGCGUAAAGCGUGCGUAGGCGGCUUUUUAAGUCGGAUGUGAAAUCCCCGAGCUUAACUUGGGAAUUGCAUUCGAUACUGGGAAGCUAGAGUAUGGGAGAGGAUGGUAGAAUUCCAGGUGUAGCGGUGAAAUGCGUAGAGAUCUGGAGGAAUACCGAUGGCGAAGGCAGCCAUCUGGCCUAAUACUGACGCUGAGGUACGAAAGCAUGGGGAGCAAACAGGAUUAGAUACCCUGGUAGUCCAUGCCGUAAACGAUGUCUACUAGCCGUUGGGGCCUUUGAGGCUUUAGUGGCGCAGCUAACGCGAUAAGUAGACC
RNAcentral lists this ribosomal RNA (780 nucleotides) under uncultured Acinetobacter sp. Its description in RNAcentral is "bacterial SSU rRNA". It matches the Rfam family "Bacterial small subunit ribosomal RNA", at positions 97 to 870 of the family's 1533-position model. The record is from RNAcentral. Lineage: Bacteria; Pseudomonadati; Pseudomonadota; Gammaproteobacteria; Moraxellales; Moraxellaceae.